AACGCUAGCUACAGGCUUAACACAUGCAAGUCGAGGGGCAGCAUGAGCUUAGCUUGCUAAGCUUGAUGGCGACCGGCGCACGGGUGAGUAACGCGUAUCCAACCUUCCGCUUACUCGGGAAUAGCCUUUCGAAAGAAAGAUUAAUGCCCGAUGGUAUCUUAAGCACACAUGUAAAUAAGAUUAAAGAUUGAUCGGUAAGCGAUGGGGAUGCGUUCCAUUAGGUAGUAGGCGGGGUAACGGCCCACCUAGCCGGCGAUGGAUAGGGGUUCUGAGAGGAAGGUCCCCCACAUUGGAACUGAGACACGGUCCAAACUCCUACGGGAGGCAGCAGUGAGGAAUAUUGGUCAAUGGGCGAGAGCCUGAACCAGCCAAGUAGCGUGAAGGAUGACGGCCCUACGGGUUGUAAACUUCUUUUGUGCGGGAAUAAAGUCACCUACGUGUAGGUGUUUGUAUGUACCGUAACGAAUAAGCAUCGGCUAACUCCGUGUCAGCAGCCGCGGUAAUACGGAGGAUGCGAGCGUUAUCCGGAUUUAUUGGGUUUAAAGGGAGCGUAGACGGGUCUUUAAGUCAGCUGUGAAAGUUUGGGGCUCAACCUUAAAAUUGCAGUUGAUACUGGCGUCCUUGAGUACGGUUGAGGCAGGCGGAAUUCGUGGUGUAGCGGUGAAAUGCUUAGAUAUCACGAAGAACUCCGAUUG
Molecule: ribosomal RNA, 695 nt
Filed under: uncultured Bacteroides sp.
Lineage: Bacteria; Pseudomonadati; Bacteroidota; Bacteroidia; Bacteroidales; Bacteroidaceae
Description: bacterial SSU rRNA
Rfam family: Bacterial small subunit ribosomal RNA
Source: RNAcentral